GAAAUCGCUGCCGCCAGGGAGGGAACAGGGCUUCGGAGUACGUAAAGUGUAUUUUCAUCUCAGUCGCGUUUCCGGGCCGAAAAGAAGUGAUUUGGGAUGGUAGUGAGUCACCAAGCAGCAAACAAUGCAUUGCUCUCAACUGCCCUUCUACCUCCAAGCUUCUAAAAUGAGUGUUUUGGUGUCAUAAACUGUGUUGAGGCUGUAGCCAUGCAGAAGUGAUGUGUGUCUUCCAUAUCCUUUUGGGAGUGAAGACAUCCCGUUAAUGAACCAGGAUGGAUGUGUUUCUGUGGGACUGGUUUGGUGGACUGGAGAAAAGGAAUAAUUGCACGUGGUGUAGCCAUCUGUUCCUGCAUCAGAAGCAGUAUCCCCUGAUUUUGGAUAAUGCCUUCAUAGGUGGUUUGAGAGCAGUGGAUUGAGGAAAAUGCAUGAAAAGUGUUUGUGUCCUCCCUUUCUUGGGCAGACUUGAUUCAUUUACAGGGCGCUGCAUCACAUGGGUUGUUACUUUUCCUCAGUGAUACUAUUAAUUAUCAAAACAGGCAUAGGAUAGAAUGCACCUUCUAGGGGCACAGACUUAGUGCUUUGCCUUUUUGAUUAUACUUCUGUAAGUAAACACAGUAGGUGCUGUUCUUACACCUUUUCCUCUGUGAUUAGCUUUGAGGACUGUUUUGGUGUAUGUAUGUGUACCCUGUAUGUCUCUCUGUUUCUUUGUGGUUGUAAUUUUCCCGUUAGUGCUGGAGGUUCCUAAAUUGUGUCUGCUACUCCUUCCUCAGGCAGGCCUGACCGGCUUUGUACAGGAAGAGUUCCUGGAAAUCUACACUAGCUUCUCUGAGCAAAAGUGCCUGGGAGUUCUCCAAGGUUUUAACCUUGGGAGGAUUACAUGAUUUAAUGGCUACUCAUGAAGAAGCUGGUUAGAGUGUUUAAAAGCUGAUCACUUUCCUAGAAUACCCAGCUAAUUGUAUUAGCUGAAAGAAGCAUGAAGUGUUCCCUGCACCUUCAAAAGAGUGGAUCAGGGAUCCAUCUGCCUUUGAUGUUACCUAACUUUGGGAAUCUUGGUGUUUGGUAUUUUUUGUAUCUUCCAUUCACACAUUGAAGUAUAAUAUAAAAAUUGGAACAUUCUUUUCAUGCCUCUGAAGUAAUGUGAAUAAAUAAGUAAUUAAUUCAGAA
This 1164-nucleotide long non-coding RNA is filed under the name Taeniopygia guttata (zebra finch). Its description in RNAcentral is "lncRNA (ENSTGUG00000021830.1)". The record is from RNAcentral. Lineage: Eukaryota; Metazoa; Chordata; Aves; Passeriformes; Estrildidae.